Molecule: long non-coding RNA, 2189 nt
Organism: Eucalyptus grandis
Lineage: Eukaryota; Viridiplantae; Streptophyta; Magnoliopsida; Myrtales; Myrtaceae
Exons: 2
Source: RefSeq, a predicted model, not a curated record
UGAAAUACACAACAUGAAAGAAUGCGAUUGAGCAUGCCACUUACUUACGGCUCCAUCACCAUCAAUCGAUCGUCUGUACCAUCUCCGAUCGGUGACACCCGCCGUCAAAUCUCCCUCGCCGGUCACCGCAACCUCGGCCGCGACAGAGCAGAGAAGGGACGCUCAUCACCACCGAUCGAAACUUCUCUUGUGCUCUUUCUCCCUCGCUUGGUGCGUGCGUGAGAGCUGAGGAACCGAGCGAAGCAAGAAUGCACGCGCACAGACCGAGAAAAAUAUCUUCCUCUCUCAUCUUGAGCGCUCUGGACCAAAUCCAGUGUCCAUGCCCGCGGUCGAAGCCAGUUGCAUCUGAAUAUCUUCAUCGAGCAAUUUCGUCGCUGAAUUGAUUCGUCUCCUUAGCUUCGGCUUCGUGAGAUUCUCCAAGUCUUUCAGUGUCUUCAUUUAUUAGCAGGUAACCAUUCAGAUCGGAUCUCCCCAAGGUAGGACGGAGUCGAUUCAUCGAGACUCGAUCAUACAAUUGUUCUGUGUUUGCCUUUUACCGAGAGCUUCAAAUUGUUAUCUCAAAUUGCUCAUGUUAUAUUGCUUGCCGAUUUAUAGGAAUUCCUAUUUGUAGAACACCUCACCCUUCAUGAUCACCACUAGUUCGACGUUUUGCCUCAGAGAUGAUAAUGACGAAUUUGUUUGUAUCAUCGAUCAAGCCGAGAUUGCAUAGAGUGAUCUGGAUGUUCUUGUUUGACAUGCUGAUCAUAUAUUGUGAAUUUUGAUGCUUCAUCCUUUGAUGGCAGGGAGUUCUCUUUCCCUUGGUGCUUCAGUUUACUUUGUCUCCUUUGGUUGUGUGACUGAAUUGUCGUCUCGUAUAAUAACAGAUUCUACAGUCAGAUGACAUCGGUUCAAGAGGUGGCUCCCACCACAUGACAGUUUAUCCUAACGAGGUUCAAGAGGUGGCUCCCACAGUGUUAUACUUUGUCACAUGUGGCAUUUUGUUUGCAUUGUACACAAAUGUCAGUCCAUUUUUUAUGCGCAUGCAUGAUGUCAUCUGUUCAUGUAUAUCAUGCUCAACAUCUUACAUAAUGAAUAAUGAUUUUUCAAGCAGGUUUGUGGUACAUAAAUAUGUACUGGCUUUAUGGUAUUCAAUAAGAGUAGUGAUUCCUGAGCCAAAGGAAUCUACCGAAUCUAUGUUUACCAAAUUGAGCUGGCUGUAGAAGAACUUUUUACAUGUCUGCUUGCUAAAUUCCAAUUCAAAAUCUGUAGUUUCUACUUUCCCUUUGAUAUUAAGAAGAGCAGUGUACUAGACCUAAAUUUGGUGAUAGCAACUUGGAAUUUUCUUUGCAGGAUUUCAGUGCAUAGAUUUAAUUCUUAGCUCAUAAAUCCGAAAAUUCUCAAUAUGAAUAUUAGUAUCUUUUGGCUUGAUCAACAUGACAAUAUGAGAGAGCAAACUUGCUUCAUGUCAUAGGGUGUGUUUGACUGAUACCUUCCGUGACUCUGAUAAUGACUUAUUCUUGGAAAAUCUAUUCAAUAGUUAUUUUAUGAGUGAGUGAAUAGAUGAUAUGUAAAGAUUAUCUGUCUGAUAGUUUUACGAAAUGAGACUGUAUAUUAUGUUUUCCAGUUUAAAAAAGAAGGAGUAGGUAAAAAGGUAUUUUGGUUUUAUAAUGUACCAUUAGUUCUUGAAUUUUUUGUAGUCAAUUGAGAUCUAAACAACCUAAUUUUAUUUUAACUCCUUUACAACUGUGGUACUCUAUCCUCUUGUCUUCGUCAAAGAGUUUAUUUGCACGUCAUAAGUUCACGCUUGAUCAAAGGCUGGGGCACAAUUACAAGGAGAUAAUGGAGUGCCACGAAGGAAAUGAUGAUUGAUGAGGCGGAGAGCAAGGGUGAUAGUCUCUUUGGACUGCUCUGUUUUGUCCGAAAUUCCAUGAGGUAAGAAUGGAACAAGAUCAUCCAUGAAUUUCGAAUGAUGGCUUGGGUGUAGGGUGAGAGUAUAGAGCUUCGAUAGCCAUUGACAGCUGCGUGAACAAGAUUAUCUCCCACUGCCAGUGCUUGUCCCUUCUCUAUUUCAUCUUAAGAAACCCCACUGCUUUCUGUCGGCCAGGUGUUCGUGAUUUUGCCUAAAUGAAUCCAGCUUCAAACACCCACUCUUCCUACCCCAAAAAAACAAACAACUACAGGUUUAAAUGUGUUGACUACUAUUAUUUCAA